RNAcentral lists this transfer RNA (76 nucleotides) under Rhodocyclaceae bacterium. RNAcentral describes it as "tRNA-His". It matches the Rfam family "tRNA". From Rfam's summary of the family: Transfer RNA (tRNA) molecules are approximately 80 nucleotides in length. Their secondary structure includes four short double-helical elements and three loops (D, anti-codon, and T loops). Further hydrogen bonds mediate the characteristic L-shaped molecular structure. tRNAs have two regions of fundamental functional importance: the anti-codon, which is responsible for specific mRNA codon recognition, and the 3' end, to which the tRNAs corresponding amino acid is attached (by aminoacyl-tRNA synthetases). tRNAs cope with the degeneracy of the genetic code in two manners: having more than one tRNA (with a specific anti-codon) for a particular amino acid; and 'wobble' base-pairing, i.e. permitting non-standard base-pairing at the 3rd anti-codon position. Lineage: Bacteria; Pseudomonadati; Pseudomonadota; Betaproteobacteria; Rhodocyclales; Rhodocyclaceae. RNAcentral also lists the same sequence under 1 other name. The record is from RNAcentral.
GCGGUGUUAGCUCAGUUGGUAGAGCACUGGAUUGUGAUUCCAGGUGUCACGGGUUCGAGCCCCGUACGUCGCCCCA